ACGGGAGGCAGCAGUGGGGAAUAUUGCACAAUGGGGGAAACCCUGAUGCAGCGACGCCGCGUGAGUGAAGAAGUAUUUCGGUAUGUAAAGCUCUAUCAGCAGGGAAGAAAAUGACGGUACCUGACUAAGAAGCCCCGGCUAACUACGUGCCAGCAGCCGCGGUAAUACGUAGGGGGCAAGCGUUAUCCGGAUUUACUGGGUGUAAAGGGAGCGUAGACGGCAAAGCAAGUCCGAUGUGAAAUUCUGGGGCUCAACCGCAGAACUGCAUUGGAAACUGUUUAGCUAGAGUAUCGGAGAGGUAAGUGGAAUUCCUAGUGUAGCGGUGAAAUGCGUAGAUAUUAGGAGGAACACCAGUGGCGAAGGCGGCUUACUGGACGAUAACUGACGUUGAGGCUCGAAAGCGUGGGGAGCAAACAGGAUUAGAUACCCUGGUA
RNAcentral lists this ribosomal RNA (434 nucleotides) under uncultured Lachnospiraceae bacterium. RNAcentral describes it as "bacterial SSU rRNA". It matches the Rfam family "Bacterial small subunit ribosomal RNA", at positions 341 to 792 of the family's 1533-position model. Lineage: Bacteria; Bacillati; Bacillota; Clostridia; Lachnospirales; Lachnospiraceae. The record is from RNAcentral.